This 1557-nucleotide ribosomal RNA is filed under the name Pantoea sp. Edef. RNAcentral describes it as "bacterial SSU rRNA". It matches the Rfam family "Bacterial small subunit ribosomal RNA". Lineage: Bacteria; Pseudomonadati; Pseudomonadota; Gammaproteobacteria; Enterobacterales; Erwiniaceae. The record is from RNAcentral.
AAUUGAAGAGUUUGAUCAUGGCUCAGAUUGAACGCUGGCGGCAAGCCUAACACAUGCAAGUCGAACGGUAACACUAAAAGAGCUUGCUCUUGAGGUGACGAGUGGCGGACGGGUGAGUAAUAUCUGGGGAUCUGCCUGAUGGAGGGGGACAACCAUUGGAAACGAUGGCUAAUACCGCAUAAAGUUGAAAAACCAAAGUGGGGGACUUUAUUAGCAAUAAUAAAACCUCAUGCCAUCAGAUGAACCCAGAUGGGAUUAGCUAGUAGGUGAGGUAAUAGCUCACCUAGGCUACGAUCCCUAGCUGGUCUGAGAGGAUGACCAGCCACACUGGAACUGAGAUACGGUCCAGACUCCUACGGGAGGCAGCAGUGGGGAAUAUUGCACAAUGGGCGAAAGCCUGAUGCAGCUAUGCCGCGUGUAUGAAGAAGGCUUUCGGGUUGUAAAGUACUUUCAGUAGGGAAGAAGGCAAUGUGGCUAAAAUCCACAAUGAUUGACGUUACCUACAGAAGAAGCACCGGCUAACUCCGUGCCAGCAGCCGCGGUAAUACGGAGGGUGCAAGCGUUAAUCGGAAUUACUGGGCGUAAAGCGCACGCAGGCGGUUUAUUAAGUCAGAUGUGAAAUCCCUGGGCUUAACCUAGGAACUGCAUUUGAAACUGAUAAGCUUGAGUUUCAUAGAGGAGAGCAGAAUUCCAGGUGUAGCGGUGAAAUGCGUAGAGAUCUGGAGGAAUAUCAGUGGCGAAGGCGGCUCUCUGGAUGAAUACUGACGCUCAGGUGCGAAAGCAUGGGGAGCAAACAGGAUUAGAUACCCUGGUAGUCCAUGCUGUAAACGAUGUCGACUUGGAAGUUGUGUCCUUGAGAUGUAAUUUCCGUAGCUAACGCGUUAAGUCGACCGCCUGGGGAGUACGACCGCAAGGUUAAAACUCAAAUGAAUUGACGGGGGCCCGCACAAGCGGUGGAGCAUGUGGUUUAAUUCGAUGCAACGCGAAAAACCUUACCUACUCUUGACAUCCAGCGAACUUGGCAGAGAUGCCUUGGUACCUUCGGGAAUGCUGAGACAGGUGCUGCAUGGCUGUCGUCAGCUCGUGUUGUGAAAUGUUGGGUUAAGUCCCGCAACGAGCGUAACCCUUAUCCUUUGUUGCCAGCGAGUUAGUCGGGAACCCAAAGGAGACUGCCGGUGAUAAGCCGGAGGAAGGUGGGGACGACGUCAAGUCAUCAUGGCCCUUAUGAGUAGGGCUACACACGUGCUACAAUGGCAUAUACAAAGAGACGCUACCUCGCAAGAGUAAGCAAAUCUCAUAAAAUAUGUCUUAGUCCGGAUUGGAGUCUGCAACUCGACUCCAUGAAGUCGGAAUCGCUAGUAAUCGUAGAUCAGAAUGCUACGGUGAAUACGUUCCCGGGCCUUGUACACACCGCCCGUCACACCAUGGAAGUGGAUUGCAAAAGAAGUAGGUAGCUUAACCUGCUAAAGGAGGGCACUUACCACUUUGUGAUUCAUGACUGGGGUGAAGUCGUAACAAGGUAACCGUAGGGGAACCUGUGGUUGGAUCACCUCCUUA